Molecule: ribosomal RNA, 433 nt
Filed under: uncultured bacterium
Lineage: Bacteria
Description: partial 16S ribosomal RNA
Rfam family: Bacterial small subunit ribosomal RNA
Source: RNAcentral
AACGAACGCUGGCGGCAUGCCUAACACAUGCAAGUCGAACGAGACCUUCGGGUCUAGUGGCGCACGGGUGCGUAACGCGUGGGAACCUGCCCUUAGGUUCGGAAUAACACCCCGAAAGGGGUGCUAAUACCGGGUAAUGUCUUCGGACCAAAGAUUUAUCGCCUUUGUAUGGGCCCGCGUUGGAUUAGCCAGUUGGUAGGGUAAAAGCCUACCAAGGCGACGAUCCAUAGCUGGUCUGAGAGGAUGAUCAGCCACACUGGGACUGGGACACGGCCCAGACUCCUACGGGAGGCAGCAGUGGGGAAUAUUGGACUAUGGGCGAAAGCCUGAUCCAGCAAGGCCGCGUGAGUGAUGAAGGCGUUAGGGUUGUACAGCUCGUUUACCCGGGAUGAUAAUGACGGUACCGGGAGAAUAAGCACCGGCUAACUCCGUG